This 398-nucleotide ribosomal RNA is filed under the name uncultured bacterium. RNAcentral describes it as "bacterial SSU rRNA". It matches the Rfam family "Bacterial small subunit ribosomal RNA", at positions 358 to 773 of the family's 1533-position model. The record is from RNAcentral.
GGAAUAUUGGACAAUGGGCGCAAGCCUGAUCCAGCCAUGCCGCGUGAGUGAUGAAGGCCCUAGGGUUGUAAAGCUCUUUCGGCGGGGAAGAUAAUGACGGUAGCGGGAGAAGAAGCCCCGGCUAACUCCGUGCCAGCCGCCGCGGUAAUACGGAGGGGGCUAGCGUUGUUCGGAAUUACUGGGCGUAAAGCGCGCGUAGGCGGAUGUUCAAGUCGGGGGUGAAAUCCCGGGGCUCAACCCCGGAACUGCCUCCGAUACUGGACGUCUCGAGGACGGGAGAGGCGAGUGGAAUGCCGAGUGUAGAGGUGAAAUUCGUAGAUAUUCGGCGGAACACCCGUGGCGAAGGCGGCUCGCUGGUCCGUUUCUGACGCUGAGGCGCGAAAGCGUGGGGAGCAAAC